GAGGGUCUAGCUUAGUGGUGUAGCACAUGCCUUGCAUGCAUGGGGUCUUGGGUUCAAUCCCCAGUACCUCCA
This 72-nucleotide transfer RNA is filed under the name Camelus bactrianus (Bactrian camel). It matches the Rfam family "tRNA". From Rfam's summary of the family: Transfer RNA (tRNA) molecules are approximately 80 nucleotides in length. Their secondary structure includes four short double-helical elements and three loops (D, anti-codon, and T loops). Lineage: Eukaryota; Metazoa; Chordata; Mammalia; Artiodactyla; Camelidae. The record is from Rfam by way of RNAcentral. RNAcentral also lists the same sequence under 2 other names.